AAAUUUAUCAAGAAUUACAAAUCUCAGUCUGCUUGCAUCCAUCACUUCUCCUUUAAAUCUUGCUCUCCCCUUGUACCAAAAUCAAAACAUUUAUCGACAGAAAAACUAGUUAAAUAAACAACGGUCUUGGAAACGGAAAUCACUGAAAAGUCACAUGAGCAAGUUACAGUUUUGGAAAACAACGAAGCUAGCGCUGAAGAAGAAAAAGAGGAGGAGAAAAAAAAGCACAAAAAGGAAGAAGGGGAUUCGAGGCUAUGGAAAUUGAGGCCAAGAAAAGGGAUUUUAGCUAAAAAGAAAAUUCCAAUGAACCUCCAGUAAUUCUCCUUAUGCUUAGAAAAUUCAUAGAUAUAUUGAAAUACAUUGCUGCUUGUUAAAAUGACAUUCUCUUAUAUUGAAGUUGAGAUUUAUUCAUUUGUUGAAAUAUUAUUUUAUUUCAAUUUUGAAUGGGAUUGAGAUAAUUUAUAAUAAUGGGUUUAUGGGAUUGAAAUUGUAUGAUAAGCAUGUUAUUUGCAUAAUUUGAAAAAUUGUUUCUAUUGCUUAUUUUGUUUGUAAGGUAAAAAAAGGCUUAUGGAUAUGUGCUGUUUGAUAAAAUGUUUGAGAGAUAUAGAUUGGGAGAUGAGGAGGUAGGCUAUUGUUGAUGCAGCUAUAACUGUCUCUUGGUGCAGAAUUUGAAGAAGUUUGAGGGAGGUUAUUGCAGAAUUAACUAUGCAUACUGCUGUCUUGUUGCAAAAGGAUAGGGACUGUGGAAUGAAAGUUUUAUUGUGGAUGAAUUGGUACUGCUGAUGUGGUGCCCUUUUUUAUCAAAUUUUUUGAAAUAAGUUGGACUGUUGAGUGGUAAUAUUGCUGCUACAUGGGUAUCUAAUUCCUGUGGAAGAAUGCAGGAAAUGGCUUUUGCCUUGCUGGGUGGGUGCACUGAUGGUUGAGUAGCUGUGGAUAUUGUAGACAUGUAUAUGGGUUAAAAGGGGUCUAUAGUGAAGGGUGUUAGGUUGGCUUGUGAUAUGUGCUGUUGGUAUACUGUUUUAUCUUGAUGUAAAGUGAUUUCUAGUUUUUUG
Molecule: long non-coding RNA, 1052 nt
Filed under: Manihot esculenta (cassava)
Lineage: Eukaryota; Viridiplantae; Streptophyta; Magnoliopsida; Malpighiales; Euphorbiaceae
Description: long non-coding RNA (MESC_LNC006126)
Source: RNAcentral